CCUACGGGAGGCAGCAGUGGGGAAUUUUGGACAAUGGGCGCAAGCCUGAUCCAGCAAUGCCGCGUGAGUGAAGAAGGCCUUCGGGUUGUAAAGCUCUUUUGUCAGGGAAGAAACGGUGUUUUCUAAUACAGAGCGCUAAUGACGGUACCUGAAGAAUAAGCACCGGCUAACUACGUGCCAGCAGCCGCGGUAAUACGUAGGGUGCAAGCGUUAAUCGGAAUUACUGGGCGUAAAGCGUGCGCAGGCGGUUUUGUAAGUUUGUCGUGAAAUCCCCGGGCUCAACCUGGGAAUGGCGAUGAAGACUGCAAGGCUAGAGUUUGGCAGAGGGGGGUAGAAUUCCACGUGUAGCAGUGAAAUGCGUAGAUAUGUGGAGGAACACCGAUGGCGAAGGCAGCCCCCUGGGUCAAAACUGACGCUCAUGCACGAAAGCGUGGGGAGCAAACAGGAUUAGAUACCCUGGUAGUCCACGCCCUAAACGAUGUCUACUAGUUGUCGGGUCUUAAUUGACUUGGUAACGCAGCUAACGCGUGAAGUAGACCGCCUGGGGAGUACGGUCGCAAGAUUAAAACUUCAAAGGAAUUGACGG
This 586-nucleotide ribosomal RNA is filed under the name uncultured bacterium. Its description in RNAcentral is "bacterial SSU rRNA". It matches the Rfam family "Bacterial small subunit ribosomal RNA", at positions 338 to 916 of the family's 1533-position model. The record is from RNAcentral.